GUGGGCCUUUGGGCCUGCGUCUGCGUGUUAAUAGUCUUUCCCGUUGGCCCGGGGAGAUGGUUAGUGAAUC
RNAcentral lists this non-coding RNA (70 nucleotides) under unclassified sequences. RNAcentral's name for it is "L13-Bacteroidia ribosomal protein leader". It matches the Rfam family "L13-Bacteroidia ribosomal protein leader". The record is from RNAcentral.